Molecule: long non-coding RNA, 1142 nt
Organism: Onychomys torridus (southern grasshopper mouse)
Lineage: Eukaryota; Metazoa; Chordata; Mammalia; Rodentia; Cricetidae
Exons: 3
Source: RefSeq, a predicted model, not a curated record
CCUACAUUUGCUCUUUAGUAUUCUGGGAUCAGCUUCUUAAAAUUCGUGUCAAUUUAUCUUUAAAUUUGUGUUCUGUAAUGGGGGAGGAGAAAAUGGAACAUGUCUUGGAGCAUCCACUCAGUCUUCUUGCUUGCAUGGAUCUUCGGCUGUCUGCUCUCUUGUCCUUUAGGCCCCAGUCAUUUGAGCCUCUCAUCCCUAUAGAUGACAAGGUGUCACCGUAGCCCUCCCUGGCAGGGAUCUUGGGCACAAGCCCCAGAAGGAUCUAUGUGUGCUACCAUGUGCCCAAUGGGAUCUAUAGGAGCUCGGACAAACAGUGUAAGUCAGAUUGAUGACUGCACCAUACUUCCCCACCCCGUGGACUGAAGCUGAGAACCAAGGUUCAGCCACCCAGACACUAAGAAGAAACUAAAACUCUGGUCCAAGGAGGAUCAGUUACUGUUUAGCUGGCAGCGGAACUUGGUCUUAUCCACAUGGUUAUACAGGUAUGCAGAAUGUUAAGAAUUGUGAAGUUAUGGAGUAUUGUACCAGUGCCCCACAGAAAACCCUGCAAGUAGAGGUGCUGUACACCAGGGACAAAUUCUCUACAGGCUCCCCAGGAAAAGGCUCUGCAUGAAGUUGGGAAGGCAAAGCCUCAGUUAAAGUGGAGACCUAAAAUAUUGGACAUAGCAGGAAUGUGUGCUGAGAACAGUUGCAGGCACCAAAUGGAAGCUGAGCAAAGAGAGAAACGGUGUGGACCACUGGUGGUAAGGGUGGGACUGGACAAGCCUUUUGACACAUAUCAUGACAUUUUCCUCAGAUGCUAGACAUGGAGGUACAGGAUUUAAUGUUUUCCCUCAUGAGUAUACUCUUGCUCUGGUCAUGUCCUUCUGUGCCCCAUUCCUCCUUCUUGAAUGGGAAUGUUUACUUUAUGCCAUUGUAUAUUGGAAGCAGAUAACUUUCCUUUUGAUUUUCCAGGGGCUCACAGUUGUUUUUAGUCUCAACAGAAAUUCUGGAUGCAGACUUUUGAGCAACAUUGGAAGUGUUAAGACUUUGGGGGCUGUUAGAGAUUGAAAAUCAAAUGUGCAAAGCUAAUUCUAAAGAAACCUGGAAUCGGGAAUCCAGUCAAUGAGAGAGAGGAGGGAUUCUGCAGGCGGGGGACAUCA